AUGGGGGCUGGCCUCUUUGGAUACCUCGACCAAACCAUUGCCGAACCAGCAAAAACCCUAGUCAGCAAAACCUCCAAGGGCAAAGAUCAGGUCGUCCCUAACCCUGCUUAUGCUCCUUGGUUGAUCCAAGAUCAACAAAUCAUUGCCUAUCUACUCUGCAAUCUCUCAAAGGAGGUGCUAGUCCAGGUUGCUUCCCUAGAGACAUCUCAUGCAAUCUGGACAGCCCUUGCCAAUAUGUUUUCUGCCCAAUCCCGCUCCAAAGCAAACCACGUUCGCAUCUCCCUCACCACCGCCCAGAAAGGAACCCAAUCUGCCGCCACAUACUUCGGUCACAUGCGA
This 339-nucleotide ribosomal RNA is filed under the name Triticum aestivum (bread wheat). Its description in RNAcentral is "partial small subunit ribosomal RNA". Lineage: Eukaryota; Viridiplantae; Streptophyta; Magnoliopsida; Poales; Poaceae. The record is from RNAcentral.